RNAcentral lists this ribosomal RNA (286 nucleotides) under Cyclothone signata (showy bristlemouth). RNAcentral describes it as "partial 16S ribosomal RNA". The record is from RNAcentral. Lineage: Eukaryota; Metazoa; Chordata; Actinopteri; Stomiiformes; Gonostomatidae.
AACUAAUCUUAUAGCAUACAAACAAUUGCCCCCGCUUACAAACAACAUAUUAGCCGCACCAAAUCAUUUUUCCCCCCGAGUAUGGGCGACAGAAAGGGGCCCCAAUAGCUACAAAGAAAGUACCGCAAGGGACUUCUGAAAAAGAAGUGAAACAACCAAAAAGACAAGAGCAGCAGAGCUUUACCCUCGUACCUUUUGCAUCAUGGAUUAACCAGCCUUACCAAGCAGAGAGAUCUCUAGUUUGACACCCCGAAACCAGGCGAGCUACUUCAAGUCAGCCCCCUGG